RNAcentral lists this ribosomal RNA (253 nucleotides) under uncultured bacterium. Its description in RNAcentral is "partial 16S ribosomal RNA". It matches the Rfam family "Bacterial small subunit ribosomal RNA", at positions 524 to 776 of the family's 1533-position model. The record is from RNAcentral.
UACGGAGGGUGCAAACGUUGCUCGGAAUUAUUGGGCGUAAAGCGCGCGCAGGCGGUCCCUUAAGUCUGAUGUGAAAGCCCACGGCUCAACCGUGGAGGGUCAUUGGAAACUGGGGGACUUGAGUACAGAAGAGGAAAGCGGAAUUCCACGUGUAGCGGUGAAAUGCGUAGAGAUGUGGAGGAACACCAGUGGCGAAGGCGGCUUUCUGGCCUGUAACUGACGCUGAGGCGCGAAAGCGUGGGGAGCAAACAGG